CAUGCACCAGUGGGGUCCCUCGGCCUGGCCUGCGUCCUCUCACAAUCCAGGACCCCUCGGGGGAUGUCGGAGAGCUGGUUUUGGCCCGAUUAUGCAGGCCAGGCCGAGGGACCCCCACUGGUGCACG
RNAcentral lists this microRNA precursor (127 nucleotides) under Myotis brandtii (Brandt's bat). Its description in RNAcentral is "mir-9193 microRNA precursor family". It matches the Rfam family "mir-9193 microRNA precursor family". Lineage: Eukaryota; Metazoa; Chordata; Mammalia; Chiroptera; Vespertilionidae. The record is from Rfam by way of RNAcentral.